This 465-nucleotide ribosomal RNA is filed under the name uncultured bacterium. RNAcentral describes it as "partial 16S ribosomal RNA". It matches the Rfam family "Bacterial small subunit ribosomal RNA", at positions 28 to 507 of the family's 1533-position model. The record is from RNAcentral.
GACGAACGCUGGCGGCGUGCUUAACACAUGCAAGUCGAGCGAGGCCCCUCCUUCGGGAGGGUGUCCUAGCGGCGAACGGGUGAGUAACACGUGGGCAACCUGCCCUCAGCUCUGGGAUAACUCCGGGAAACCGGGGCUAAUACCGGAUACGACCUCCACGGGCAUCUGCGGGGGUGGAAAGUUUUUCGGCUGAGGAUGGGCCCGCGGCCUAUCAGCUAGUUGGUGGGGUAGUGGCCCACCGAGGCGACGACGGGUAGCCGGCCUGAGAGGGCGACCGGCCACACUGGGACUGAGACACGGCCCAGACUCCUACGGGAGGCAGCAGUGGGGAAUAUUGCGCAAUGGGCGAAAGCCUGACGCAGCGACGCCGCGUGAGGGACGAAGGCCUUCGGGUUGUAAACCUCUUUCAGCAGGGACGAAGCGAAAGUGACGGUACCUGCAGAAGAAGCACCGGCCAACUACGUG